CCUUUACUACUCCUAAAGCACCAUCGGGGCUCAAAGAUGAGGAAGACUAUGACUCAAGUCUAGUAAGAUCGCCCUGCCCCCAAAAUAGACAACAUUCAGAAGACUAGAGUGAAGCACGAUGUGCAAAUACGGACCCAUAAACAGAUAUUGAUUCAGCUGAACUAAUUCAAGCAAGAGAAAACUCUUCAAUAUCCUACAAAUAUGGCUAAUGCAAUAGAGCUCUCCGAAAAAUAAGCUUCACAGAACUCAACAUCUGGCCUCCCAUUUUAUUCCUCAAAUAUAAAACCCGCUGCAAAAGUGAAAUUAGAGCAUACACAAAAGUCUAAUUUCUCUAGGUGUGAUUUAAGUUUGUUUUGUUUUAAAGAAAGGUCAUCUUGUUUCUUCUGUUUCACUGGCCUUGAGAAGCAGCAGACUAUCCCAGCGCACAAGAAAUUAAUUACCCUGGAGGACCAGGUGCAACCAGUUAGCCAGUUGCCAUGGAGACAAAAUCGCUACAUCCCGGAUUUUCCAGGAUGGUCUCUAUUUCAUGAAAUCUUAUUCUUUUCAAUAAAGGCCAUUCAUAAGAAUGCAAAUAUAAGUGUGAUUUGCUUACUUUCAUGUGUGCAUUAAUGCACAAACAGAAGAAAAUACUUUGCCAAAUAAUGAACCCUCAUCUUUGUCAAGAAAAUUUGAUAGGUAUGAUUUGAGUGAAUUAGUUAAAAAAAAAAAAAGCAAAGUAAAUAAAUCCAAAGCACUUUAAAAUACUGUUGGAAAAACGAAAACCAGCUUUCCUGGAGUCCUCGGCACUUGAAGAAUGGUGCUGCUAUGGCUAGUAUGAGUCCAAGGUCAGCCCAACGUGAGAGAUACAACAGCUCUCAUCUGAGAAUUUGUAGCAAAUUCCGUUCAAAUUAGUUUGCUUUCAGUUCUUCCGAAGGAAACUCAACACAGAGCUACGUCACUACCUAACUUUAGGGUAUUAUCAAUCAACCAAAAUGGUAGUAUGUUUUCCUUUAAAAAAGACGUUGGCAUUCAUUAUUUGAACAGUUUUCGAGUUAUUCCAUAUAACUGGAGUUUUGUUCAUUGUAAGGUGCCAAAGUUGGUCUCUUGGUGUUGACAAAGUUACCCUGGUAAUUAAUGUAAAAUGUUAACACUGAGGGAAACUAUGCGUGUGGGGAGGAGGAGAUGUGGGAACUCUGCAUUGGCU
This 1183-nucleotide long non-coding RNA is filed under the name Equus caballus (horse). RNAcentral describes it as "lncRNA (ENSECAG00000059010.1)". Lineage: Eukaryota; Metazoa; Chordata; Mammalia; Perissodactyla; Equidae. The record is from RNAcentral.